This 408-nucleotide ribosomal RNA is filed under the name uncultured bacterium. RNAcentral's name for it is "partial 16S ribosomal RNA". It matches the Rfam family "Bacterial small subunit ribosomal RNA", at positions 28 to 526 of the family's 1533-position model. The record is from RNAcentral.
GACGAACGCUGGCGGCGUGCUUAACACAUGCAAGUCGAACGAAGUGGUGAACGGGUGAGUAACGCGUAAUCAACCUGCCCUUCAGCGGGUGACAACAGUUGGAAACGACUGCUAAUACCGCAUACUGAAGGAGGGGAUUGCGUCUGAUUAGCUAUGUGGAGGGGUAACGGCCCACCAAGGCGCUGAUCAGUAGCCGGGCGGAGAGGAUGAACGGCCACAUGGGGAAUGAGCAACGGACCAGACUCCUACGGGAGGCAGCAGGGGGGAAUCUUCCGCAAUGGACGAAAGUCUGACGGAGCAACGCCGCGUGAGGGAUGACGGCCUUCGGGUUGUAAAGCUCUGUUAAUCGGGACGCGGUACCGGAAUAGAAAGCCACGGCUAACUACGUGCCAGCAGCCGCGGUAAUAC